ACGAAUAAGAUUCGAUAACUUCCA
RNAcentral lists this microRNA (24 nucleotides) under Ananas comosus (pineapple). Its description in RNAcentral is "microRNA s1140_c006b". Lineage: Eukaryota; Viridiplantae; Streptophyta; Magnoliopsida; Poales; Bromeliaceae. The record is from RNAcentral.